GUCCACUUGAGAUUUUGAUUUCUUCAUUUUUGGGGUUGUGUCUUAAAUGGAAAAACGGAGGAUGAACGGUGUGGAUAUAUAAUAAAUACAUUAAGGUCGACCCCACGUAAGGGCUGCACCUAAAACGCUCCCUUACUGGAGUAAAAACAGAGCCAUCUCAGAUGAGAAAUUUAUUGUAUGUGUUGCCUCCAGAAACCAACAUUGUGGCUACUGCUGCGUUGAAUAUGGCCUUUUGGGUUUUCUUCUUGUCUUCCAUUUCUCCUGCUGAUGGAUCGGGCAUAUCCUCACAUCUGUAUUGGUAUCAAGAAAUUCAGAGAGAGAGAGAGAGAGAGAGAGAGAGAGAGAGAGAGAGAGAGAGAGAGAGAGAGAGAGAGAGCUUCACAUCUGUAUUGGUAUCAAGAAAUUCAGAGAGACAUCUGUAUUGAGAGAGAGAGAGAGAGAGAGAGAGAGAGAGAGAGAUGCCUCUGAAUCAUAUGCUUCAUUACUUUUGACUGUUAUAGAAUCUUUUCUUGCCUUUUUGCAGACGAUGUUUAAAUAUAGAGGGUGAUAUGGGCGUCCAUUUGUUGCUCCCUUCACUGCUAAGGUGGGCCACACCAUGUAAGUUUACAGGUAUUAGGCAUAAUUUUAGAUUGUUCUCUGAGUUGUAGCCUACCUAAUUUUUGGAUUGGCCAGAUUUUUGGUUUCUGCAGUGAACAUGAUGGAUGGUGAGAAUGCCGUUGUUGAUGGACUGAACCAGAUGGCCAGUUGAAACCAGCCCCACAGCAUCCUUUGUACCACUAUAAGUUGUGGUGCCGGCACAGGGACCAUUUGAGUACCUUUUGAGCUAAAGAUGGACCGACUAGAUCUUGCUAAUAUAUCCUGAUUCAAAACUUCAUUUGCCCCAUGAAGUUUUCAAUGGUUUGUAUUUCCCUUCUCAUUAUUUCUUGUUGUGUGGCCCACCUGAAUUUUGUAUUCCCCUAAUUUUUUGGGCUCAUGUCCUAUGAUGAGCCUCCAGUUUGAUUUUUAGAUUUAGGUGUUAAGAAAAUUUUCAAGGAUAUUGGGCUCAGGUAGCUUAGCCCAUAUGGGUAUCAAUGGGCUGGGAUGGCCCUUGGACUUCUGGACUUGGCCUGGCUUGGGUCUGUCUUGGGUUUGAGUUUCAGGCCUGAUGGUUGGGCUCAGUUUAAGGCUGUUAUAAAUAGGCUGGGCUUGGACUUGGAUGUCUGAAUCCCAUUGUCCAGCGAAAUUCCUUUAAAAAAAGUGCUGAUUAGGUGAGGCCCUGCCCAUGGGGCCCACCGUGUUGUAUAUCAAUGCCAUCCAUCCGUUUUUAUAGCUUAUUUUACAGCAUGGUCUAAAAAACGAGGCAAAUUUGUAUUUUAGGUUGACCACACAGGAGGAAAAUAGUGGUGAUUAAACCCCCACUAUUAAAAACUUCAGAGUACCUAUUGUAAUGUUUAUUUUCCAUCCAACUCUUUCAUAAGAUCUCAGGGAAAUGGAUGAAUGGAAAACAAAAAUAGAAGCUUGAUCCAAUACUUUUGUGUCCCCAAAGUAGUUUUUAAUGGUGAGAGUUCAAUCCCCACUGUGUGGUCCACCUAAGAUUUGGAUCUGAUUAAUUUUUGGAACAAAGCCCUAAAAUGAUCUUGUAAAAUGGAUGGACGGCAUGGAUAUACAAAAAUAAAAAAAAAAAAAAAAAUCAAAGGUAGGCCUCAUGGUCAGCGCCUCAAUUGUUAUCCCUUGCUCACCGAAACGGUAAAUCGGUAAUUAAUGUUAAUAAAUGGGAAGGAGAGGGGUUGCUGGCACAGGUGGACCCCACCAUGGUAUUCAUGUGAAUCUAUCCUCACCAUCAGGUGUAUCACCCCCAUAUUAGACCAAGGAUAAAAAAACCAGCCCCAUUCAUGUUUUGUUUCAAGUGGACCACACAAUUGGAGACACUGAUAGGGCAAUGAUUAUGCUCUAAACUAUUUUCCUUCAUAUGGCCCACAAGAAUAAUGGAUGGGGUUGAUGUUAGGUCCUAGGCCCUUAGUUUUUGUAUGGCAUCUAAUUGUUGGAAUGGAUUUUAUAUGAUCAUCAUAGUGGGCCCUGUAAAUAUCAAUGAUGCACGUCUCUCUAACUAUUUCUUUUGAUGUGGCCCAUUCAAAUCACAGGUUGGCCUAAUUUUUUAGCCAUGGGCCUAACGUAGAAUUUUACAUGUAAUGAUCAGAGUGGAUCUCACUUACAUAUAAAGGUAGGCCUCUAAAAUAUAAAGGGUGAUCACAUCUCAUGCAUGACAUAGAGUAAUUUCUAACAUCUUUUCGAUAGUUAGGUUGAGUGGGCUCUACAUUGGUUUUGAUGUAAAAUCCAUGGCCCAAAAAUCAUCCCCAUUCGGAAUUAAAGGGGGCCAUAUGAUUGGAAAUAGUAUACAUGUCAAGGCUUACCUCUAAACAAUUUUUCCAUUGGUAUACCUGAAUCAUGGAUGGGCCUGAUUUUUCAGCCAGACGUGGUGUGGCAUCUAAUCACAAGAGUUGAUUUUAUAUAAUCAUCACGGUGGACCCCCUAUUAAUCUAGGUUGGAAGUCUCUCCCAUAAUUUUUCUCGCAAAUUUUUUUUCUCCCUUUGGUGUGGCCCACGUGAAUCACGUGUAAGCCUGAUUUUUUCACCCUUAGCCUAACAUGGGAUCACACAUCUAAUGGUCGGAAUAGAUCUCACAUGCACAUCAGAGUGUGUCCCUUGGAAAAUUAAGAGUGUGCAAUCCUAUUCUUUUACAAAAUCUCUUUCACACACACACACGGUUAAUUGCAUAUGAAAUAUUGUGAGGCUUUACUAAGCCCACACGCUUGUGAAUCAUGUUGAUCAACUGGUUAGGUGGGUUGCAUCAAAUGUACGGCUCUAAAACACUUGGCUGAAGUUUUCAAUCCCAUCCACAUGUUUCCAAUAUUAGAUUGGCAUAUCUGAUUUUCUUGGGUGCUUGUGUUCUAGAUUCUUCGAUGGGACAACACAAUAAGUCCAUAUAAAGAAAUUAAAAAAACUUACAAA
Magnolia sinica is the source of this 2987-nucleotide long non-coding RNA. RefSeq lists it as uncharacterized. NCBI's taxonomy places the organism in Eukaryota, Viridiplantae, Streptophyta, Magnoliopsida, Magnoliales, Magnoliaceae. The record is from RefSeq and is a predicted model, not a curated record. The transcript is spliced from 2 exons.